UGGAAGAAGGUGUGGAUGAAUGCUACAGCUAAAAAAUGUUUCACAGUCUGCUUCAGCUCUUCUAUCACCUCAUGGUGCUUUUAUAUAAUUAGAACAAUCCUAUGAUUUUCAGAGACAACAAACUUUCUUUCUUGUAAAAUUUAUUCUGCUGCUCAGCAGGAAUCUUCGCAAGUUCUCUCCAGCUGAAGCAAACAGAUUUAGGUAUACAGAACUCAUUCCUUCAUGAAGAAUGAAAGAGACAUGCUGAUGUUACUGUGAACUUCCAUAGUCAAAAUUGAUCCCAUUGCAAGAUCUGAAUAGGACAUUGCCACACAGAUAAAUGAUCUUAGCAACAGUGAAGAAAAAGCUCUUGAAAAGGCUCCGCCUGGAUCCUGUACUCUGCCAGCCUUGUAUUUAAUGCAGAUACCUCACAUGAAGAAAUUUAAGAAAAUAGCUCCUGAAUGCAAUGUUCACAGUCAGACCUUGCCCACAACAGAAGCACUGAAGACAAAGAAUAGAAGAUAGUGGGAUAAAGAAAGACAAAAUAAAAUGAUGUAAAGAAGAUCCAUUUACUACAAACGUUCUCGCUACAACAAGUCAGACUAUUUGCCACAGAGUGUAGAUUCUGCAUGACAAACUGCAGUUUAUAUGUAGGCAUUUAGAUACCUGGACUCCAGAAUGGACUCUGACUGCAGACUCAUACAUUUCAGUGUGAUGAGUACCUUUGCUACCUUACAGCAAGGCUUUACUGUACAACACUAAGGUGAUACUCAUGGGCAUACGCUCCCCAAAGAAAGGCAAUCAUUAUGAAAUACCCAACUUCAAAACUACAAGCUGCCUGAAUUUUAAUUUUUUGUUCUCUAAAUAAACUGCCACAGUGUUUAAUUA
This is a long non-coding RNA of Anas platyrhynchos (mallard), 867 nucleotides long. RefSeq lists it as uncharacterized. The record is from RefSeq and is a predicted model, not a curated record. Lineage: Eukaryota; Metazoa; Chordata; Aves; Anseriformes; Anatidae.